Candidatus Levybacteria bacterium RBG_13_35_9 is the source of this 72-nucleotide non-coding RNA. NCBI's taxonomy places the organism in Bacteria, Candidatus Levyibacteriota. The record is from Rfam.
GCCCCUAUAGCUCAACGGAUAGAGCAAGCCCGUCCUAAGGGCGAGAUGAUGGUUCAAUUCCGUCUAGGGGUA